GAGGCUUGGGAAAGGGAACCUGAUGCAGCGACGCCGCGUGGGUGAUGAAGGCCUUCGGGUCGUAAAACCCUUUUCGGGGGGAAGAGGAAGGACGGUACCCCAGGAAUAAUUGUCGGCUAACUACGUGCCAGCAGCCGCGGUAAUACGUAGGACACGAGCGUUAUCCGGAUUUACUGGGCGUAAAGCGCCUGUAGGCGGUUUUGUAAGUCGGAUGUGAAAGCCCCAGGCUUAACCUGGGGAGGCCAUUCGAUACUGCGGGACUUGAGGAUAGCAGAGGGGAGUGGAAUUCCCGGUGUAGCGGUAAAAUGCGCAGAUAUCGGGAGGAACACCAGUGGCGAAGGCGGCUCCCUGGGCUACUCCUGACACUGAGAGGCGAAAGCUAGGGGAGCGAACAGGAUUAGAGACCCUGGUAGUCCUAGCCCUAAACGAUGGAUGCUAGGUGGAGGAUCGAUAGGUUUUCUGCCAAAGCUAACGCGUUAAGCAUCCCGCCUGGGGACUACGGCCGCAAGGCUAAAAACUCAAACGAAUUGACGGGGCCCCGCACAAGCAGCGGAGCGGGGUGGUUUAAUUUCGAUGUUACACGAAGAACCUUACCUGGGUUUAACAUGGGACGUGGUAGCAAAGCAAAAGCGGAGCGACCCUUCGGGGGAGCGUUGACGGGGGCUGCAUGUUUGUCGCCAGCUCGGGCCGGGGGGGGUCGGGUUAAGUCCCGAACCGGGCGCAACCCUUGCCCUUUAGUUACAAGUGUCUAAGGGACCUGCCCGGCGGAAAGCCGGAAGAAAGGUGGGAAUAAGUCAAGCAGCUGGGCCUUUUUAUUCCAGGGUUACCCACCCCCUACAAUGGUCGGAACAAUGGCCAGCCAAGCCGGGGGGGGAAUGAACCCAACAAACCCACCCCCGUUCGGAUUGCGGCCGCAACCCCCCUGAUGAAAGCGGAUUUGCAAUAACCGGCGGCCCCUUAUGGGGGGGAAACCCUUCCGGGCCUUGAAAAACCCCCCCUAAAGUUUGGGAGAUUGAAAAUCCUGAACCGGGGUUUUAACCCCGAGAGAGAGACACCUCAAAGCGAGUUAGACAUGGGACAAUCUGUACACGGUCCUGUCCGGAGGGGAGUGUUUCCACCCCUAAAAGGCAUAUUUCCG
RNAcentral lists this ribosomal RNA (1138 nucleotides) under uncultured Bellilinea sp. RNAcentral's name for it is "partial 16S ribosomal RNA". It matches the Rfam family "Bacterial small subunit ribosomal RNA", at positions 359 to 1533 of the family's 1533-position model. The record is from RNAcentral. Lineage: Bacteria; Bacillati; Chloroflexota; Anaerolineae; Anaerolineales; Anaerolineaceae.